UACGGGGGGGGCAAGCGUUGUUCGGAAUUACUGGGCGUAAAGGGUUCGUAGGUGGCUGAUUAAGUCAGACGUGAAAUCCCUCGGCUCAACCGGGGAACUGCGUCUGAGACUGAUGAGCUCGAGUGCAGGAGAGGAACGCGGAAUUCCAGGUGUAGCGGUGAAAUGCGUAGAUAUCUGGAGGAACACCGGUGGCGAAGGCGGCGUUCUGGACUGCAACUGACACUGAGGAACGAAAGCCAGGGGAGCAAACGGG
This 253-nucleotide ribosomal RNA is filed under the name uncultured Acidobacteriota bacterium. RNAcentral describes it as "uncultured Acidobacteria bacterium partial 16S ribosomal RNA". It matches the Rfam family "Bacterial small subunit ribosomal RNA", at positions 524 to 776 of the family's 1533-position model. Lineage: Bacteria; Pseudomonadati; Acidobacteriota. The record is from RNAcentral.